GGCUGCGAUCAUACCAGCACUAAUGCACCGGAUCCCAUCAGAACUCCGCAGUUAUUUGGGCGAGAGUAGUACUAGGAUGGGUGAACCCCUGGGAAGUCCUCGUGUUGCAACCC
RNAcentral lists this ribosomal RNA (113 nucleotides) under Helianthus annuus (common sunflower). The record is from RNAcentral. Lineage: Eukaryota; Viridiplantae; Streptophyta; Magnoliopsida; Asterales; Asteraceae.